This 86-nucleotide transfer RNA is filed under the name Treponema sp. RNAcentral describes it as "tRNA-Ser". It matches the Rfam family "tRNA". Rfam says of the family: Transfer RNA (tRNA) molecules are approximately 80 nucleotides in length. Their secondary structure includes four short double-helical elements and three loops (D, anti-codon, and T loops). Lineage: Bacteria; Pseudomonadati; Spirochaetota; Spirochaetia; Treponematales; Treponemataceae. The record is from RNAcentral.
GGAAAGGUGACCGAGCGGCCGAAGGUGCACGAUUGGAAAUCGUGUGUACCCGAAAGGUACCGAGGGUUCGAAUCCCUCCCUUUCCG